GGCUCAAUGGUCUAGUAGUAUGAUUCCUGCUUCGGGUUGUUCCCGGUUCGUUUCGAACUGAAUAUGCAGGAGGUCCCGGGUUCAAUUCCCGGUUGAGCCC
Pleurotus ostreatoroseus is the source of this 100-nucleotide non-coding RNA. The record is from the annotation of a GenBank genome assembly. NCBI's taxonomy places the organism in Eukaryota, Fungi, Basidiomycota, Agaricomycetes, Agaricales, Pleurotaceae.